Molecule: long non-coding RNA, 569 nt
Filed under: Brassica napus (rape)
Lineage: Eukaryota; Viridiplantae; Streptophyta; Magnoliopsida; Brassicales; Brassicaceae
Description: long non-coding RNA (BNAP_LNC014876)
Source: RNAcentral
CCAAGAAAAAAAAACAAAGCUUGUAACAAGUAAUAAAAAUCUUCUUCUAAGUUAUAAAAUCUUUCUUCUUCACAAAGUUUCUUUCUCUUCAAACAGUUAAAACACUUUCUCCGUCUCUACAAAGUUUUUCAUUCCAACACUAACCAGAACGAUAAGUUUGAUCCAAUUCGAGAUAGAGAUCACAACACCGACAUAUGGAAGGGUUUUGGAUUCAUAAAGAUCGAAACUUUACAGUAAUGAAGUUGUUCCAAGUCUUAGAUAAAACACAAACACACGAAACUUAAAAGAGUUUGCAUGUUGAAGGGUUUUGAGUCUUUUGCACGUCUCUGGUUGCAUAAGCAGCAGGGCCGAGAGGCUCCUGUUUUCUUGCUCUUGGCUUCGCUUUCCUCCAUUUUUACUACUAGUGGCCGUUGUGAAACUCGGAGUGAUAGAGAAACGGCCGCGUUAUGUACAUACAUGGGCGUUUAAGUGCCUUGAGAACUCAUUCUCUCUUUAGUUUGUAUAACAAUUAUUAAAAAAAAAAUGUAAUAUAUUUAAAAUUUUUUGGAUCUGAAUUCGGAUAUCCAAAC